GAGGAUAUACCUCAAGUGGUAGAACACAUGCUUAGCAUGCACGAGGUCCUGGGUUCAAUCCCCAGUACCUUCU
Molecule: transfer RNA, 73 nt
Filed under: Camelus bactrianus (Bactrian camel)
Lineage: Eukaryota; Metazoa; Chordata; Mammalia; Artiodactyla; Camelidae
Also listed under: 1 other name
Rfam family: tRNA
About the family: Transfer RNA (tRNA) molecules are approximately 80 nucleotides in length. Their secondary structure includes four short double-helical elements and three loops (D, anti-codon, and T loops).
Source: Rfam by way of RNAcentral